CGCGGCCGCAGAGUUUGAUCAUGGCUCAGAACGAACGUUGGCGGUGUGCCUAAUACAUGCAAGUCGAGCGAGAAAACCGGGGCAACUCGGUGAGUACAGCGGCGGAAGGGUGCGUAAUUCAUGGUUAACGUACCCCCCAGUUCGGGAUAACCCUCCGGAAGGUGGGCUAAUACCGGGUAAUGGCAGCGGGUGGCAUCAUUUGCUGCUUAAAGACGCAAGUCGCUGGGGGAGCGGACCAUGGCCUAUCAGCUAGUUGGCGGGGUAACGGCCCACCAAGGCAAUGACGGGUAGCCGGACUGAGAGGUUGAACGGCCACACGGGACCUGAGACACGGUCCCGACAUCUACGGAUGGCAGCAGUAGGGAAUCUUGCGCAAUGGGCGAAAGCCUGACGCAGCGACACCGCGUGGGGGAUGAAGGCCUUCGGGUUGUAAACCCCUUUCAUGAGGGAAGAACGCUGACCUAACCUCAAGAAGAAGCACCGG
This 484-nucleotide ribosomal RNA is filed under the name uncultured Termite group 1 bacterium. RNAcentral describes it as "bacterial SSU rRNA". It matches the Rfam family "Bacterial small subunit ribosomal RNA", at positions 1 to 496 of the family's 1533-position model. The record is from RNAcentral. Lineage: Bacteria; Pseudomonadati; Elusimicrobiota.